Molecule: ribosomal RNA, 465 nt
Filed under: Vreelandella stevensii
Lineage: Bacteria; Pseudomonadati; Pseudomonadota; Gammaproteobacteria; Oceanospirillales; Halomonadaceae
Description: partial 16S ribosomal RNA
Rfam family: Bacterial small subunit ribosomal RNA
Source: RNAcentral
CCUACGGGGGGCUGCAGUGGGGAAUAUUGGACAAUGGGGGGAACCCUGAUCCAGCCAUGCCGCGUGUGUGAAGAAGGCCCUCGGGUUGUAAAGCACUUUCAGUGAGGAAGAACGCCUGGUGGUUAAUACCCAUCAGGAAAGACAUCACUCACAGAAGAAGCACCGGCUAACUCCGUGCCAGCAGCCGCGGUAAUACGGAGGGUGCGAGCGUUAAUCGGAAUUACUGGGCGUAAAGCGCGCGUAGGUGGCUUGAUAAGCCGGUUGUGAAAGCCCCGGGCUCAACCUGGGAACGGCAUCCGGAACUGUCAAGCUAGAGUGCAGGAGAGGAAGGUAGAGUUCCCGGUGUAGCGGUGAAAUGCGUAGAGAUCGGGAGGAAUACCAGUGGCGAAGGCGGCCUUCUGGACUGACACUGACACUGAGGUGCGAAAGCGUGGGUAGCAAACAGGAUUAGAUACCCUAGUAGUC